UCUGAUAUCCUUGUUAGAGUUCGGCAAAUAAAUCUUCUUUGUUAUCAGUUGGAUUUGCAAUUGUCUUAAUCAAUGUAGACCACGCAGGAUAUAUACAAAGGGUGGAGCUUACUAUAUAUCGGGGGUCGCCGGCCGUCGAAAAUUUUAUAAUUACUAGAGUACUCGUUUCUAAUAAAUUCUUGUAAAAUCAAACAGUUUCAAUAAACUUAGCUGUAGUUCAACGAUAACGUCACCGUUUCAUGCUUGCAAUGUCUGUAGUUUGAACCCUAUAAACAGCUAUUUGAUUCCAGCAUUUUGUUAACAUUUAACUAUCUUCAACUAUUUAACUAACGUUCCAACUUUCAAUUCCUUAAAACCUAAACCUAAUAAUUAACUAAUCUAUAAAUUGCGGCCCUACACCAUCCUUUUUUAAUUUUCUUCUUCUUCUUCUUAACUAUUCCGGCGCGGUGCCUCCACUCCAAUUCACAGUGAUGUUGACAUAAUCACUAAUUCUGUAAUAGCAUGUAUCAUGCCAUGAUUCAUUUACCAUAAACCUUUGACUUGGGAUCGACCUGUUCAUAAUCCAAUGAAAUAUCAGGGAUUGACCAAGAAUGUUGAUGUCGUUGGUUGAACCUGUCGUCCUAAAAUACGCGCAUGCCAUAUCCGGGUGUUAUAACUUGCGACUGCUCAAGGGUUACUGUUGGUCGAUGCACAUGUCCAGUAUGUUGGCAACCAGUAGGGCAAUUCCUCCACUCCCAAUGCAUGUAGUCAAUGGAGCCAAUCAUGCCUGGAAAUCCACGUUGAGAUGCUUUCGCCAAUAGUUUCUCCAAAUCUUCACGUGUUGGCUCACGGAGGUACUCGGCCCCGUAAACAUACACAACGCCAAUGCAUAAUUUCCUCAAGAUCUCAAGAGCAUUACUCUCCCCAAGUUGAAAGUAUUCAUCAAUAGAAUCACCAGUGCAACCCUAUGCUAACAUAUGAAGGGUGGCCGUGAUAUUCAGUUCAGGCGAUAGUGAUAAAUGACCAACAACAUCACGACGUCGUUGAAAGUUUGGGUCAGCUUGCACCACCCCUAUAAAAAUGCGUCGAAACAAGGUCGGAUACUAAUGAAAGUGCCUUCUAAAAACCCGCUCAUUGUACGUUGGCAUCUGUCCAUCACGCCCAAAGUAAUCAUCCAUCAAGCAUCCAUGGGAAGCUUCCCUAAUGUGUCUAGUAUACCCACGGUUUUGGGUUCGCCUAUAACGAGAUACACGCCUUGCUAGCUCUAAUAAAUAGAGAUGCAUUUAACGUUGAAUUUCAAACAUUUGAU
This 1288-nucleotide long non-coding RNA is filed under the name Linum usitatissimum (flax). Its description in RNAcentral is "long non-coding RNA (LUSI_LNC005011)". The record is from RNAcentral. Lineage: Eukaryota; Viridiplantae; Streptophyta; Magnoliopsida; Malpighiales; Linaceae.